UCUUUUCUUUCUUUUUCUCUCGAAAGGUUUUGGACCUUCACCUCAUGUAGAAAGGUUCCUCACACCCCAAACUUUCUCUCCAAAAAUUUCUACGCACGCCCCACCUUUCUCCCCUUUUUAAAACAACAUCGAACGUGUCUUAUCCGCGUGAGAGGAUAAAGAUAAGUGGUUGCACAUUUGAAUUCAAAUCGAGUUUGAAUUCAAAUGCAAACCAACUCAUCCCUAUCCACUUAUGCC
Molecule: long non-coding RNA, 237 nt
Filed under: Elaeis guineensis (African oil palm)
Lineage: Eukaryota; Viridiplantae; Streptophyta; Magnoliopsida; Arecales; Arecaceae
Description: long non-coding RNA (EGUI_LNC054212)
Source: RNAcentral